This 72-nucleotide transfer RNA is filed under the name Candidatus Nomurabacteria bacterium. Its description in RNAcentral is "tRNA-Thr". It matches the Rfam family "tRNA". Rfam says of the family: Transfer RNA (tRNA) molecules are approximately 80 nucleotides in length. Their secondary structure includes four short double-helical elements and three loops (D, anti-codon, and T loops). Further hydrogen bonds mediate the characteristic L-shaped molecular structure. tRNAs have two regions of fundamental functional importance: the anti-codon, which is responsible for specific mRNA codon recognition, and the 3' end, to which the tRNAs corresponding amino acid is attached (by aminoacyl-tRNA synthetases). tRNAs cope with the degeneracy of the genetic code in two manners: having more than one tRNA (with a specific anti-codon) for a particular amino acid; and 'wobble' base-pairing, i.e. permitting non-standard base-pairing at the 3rd anti-codon position. The record is from RNAcentral. Lineage: Bacteria; Candidatus Nomuraibacteriota.
GCCGUGGUAGCUCAGUGGUAGAGCAUCUGACUCGUAAUCUGAAGGUUGGGGGUUCGAAUCCCUCCCACGGCA